This 468-nucleotide ribosomal RNA is filed under the name uncultured bacterium. RNAcentral describes it as "partial 16S ribosomal RNA". It matches the Rfam family "Bacterial small subunit ribosomal RNA", at positions 28 to 507 of the family's 1533-position model. The record is from RNAcentral.
GACGAACGCUGGCGGCGUGCUUAACACAUGCAAGUCGAACGGAAAGGCCCUUCUUUUGUGGGGUGCUCGAGUGGCGAACGGGUGAGUAACACGUGACUAACCUGCCCUUGACUUUGGGAUAACUUCAGGAAACUGGGUCUAAUCCCGGAUAGGCGCUCCUGCUGCAUGGUGUGGGUUGGAAAGUUUCGGCGGUUGGGGAUUGACUCGCGGCUUAUCAGCUUGUUGGUGGGGUAGUGGCUUACCAAGGCUUUGACGGGUAGCCGGCCUGGGAGGGUGACCGGCCAAAUUGGGACGGAGAUAGGGCCCAGACUCCUACGGGAGGCAGCAGUGGGGAAUAUUGCACAAUGGGCGGAAGCCGGAGGAAGAAAGGCGGCGUGGGGGAUGACGGCCUUGGGGUGGUAAACCGCUUUAGCAUGGGAGGAAGAGUGAGUGACGGUAAUGGGUAAAGAAGCACCGGCUAACUACGUG